ACCCUAGUUAUUAUGAAUAAUCAUUAGUCUCAUUUGAAUAAAAUAAUCUAUUUUGUUACCAUCGAUGCAAAACUAGAAAAUGCUUUACAGCCUAAAAACUCUCUAAAAUAAUUGUAACAUACCUUUUUGGGUACUAGUAAUGUUAAAGAUGACAUUUUGGCCUAAAUAAUGAUUGAACCCUUUAUCCAUCAAACUAGAAACUAGGUUUUACACCCUUUCAGGAGAUUCUCUUGAGGAA
This 238-nucleotide long non-coding RNA is filed under the name Elaeis guineensis (African oil palm). Its description in RNAcentral is "long non-coding RNA (EGUI_LNC024299)". Lineage: Eukaryota; Viridiplantae; Streptophyta; Magnoliopsida; Arecales; Arecaceae. The record is from RNAcentral.